CCUGGAAACGGGGUCUAAUACCGGAUACUGACCCUCGCAGGCAUCUGCGAGGUUCGAAAGCUCCGGCGGUGCAGGAUGAGCCCGCGGCCUAUCAGCUUGUUGGUGAGGUAAUGGCUCACCAAGGCGACGACGGGUAGCCGGCCUGAGAGGGCGACCGGCCACACUGGGACUGAGACACGGCCCAGACUCCUACGGGAGGCAGCAGUGGGGAAUAUUGCACAAUGGGCGAAAGCCUGAUGCAGCGACGCCGCGUGAGGGAUGACGGCCUUCGGGUUGUAAACCUCUUUCAGCAGGGAAGAAGCGAAAGUGACGGUACCUGCAGAAGAAGCGCCGGCUAACUACGUGCCAGCAGCCGCGGUAAUACGUAGGGCGCAAGCGUUGUCCGGAAUUAUUGGGCGUAAAGAGCUCGUAGGCGGGCUUGUCACGUCGGGUUGUGAAAGCCCGGGGGCUUAACCCCGGGGUCUGCAGUCGAUACGGGCAGGCUAGAGUUCGGUAGGGGAGAUCGGAAUUCCUGGUGUAGCGGUGAAAUGCGCAGAUAUCAGGAGGAACACCGGUGGCGAAGGCGGAUCUCUGGGCCGAUACUGACGCUGAGGAGCGAAAGCGUGGGGAGCGAACAGGAUUAGAUACCCCUGGUAGUCCACGCCGUAAACGGUGGGCACUAGGUGUGGGCAACAUUCCACGUUGUCCCGUGCCGCAGCUAACGCAUUUAAGUGCCCCGCCUGGGGGAGUACGGCCGCAAAGGCUAAAAACUCAAAAGGAAUUGACGGGGGGCCCCGCACAAAGCGGCGGGAGCAUGUGGGCUUAAUUUCGACGCCACCGCGAAAGAACCUUUACCAAGGGCUUUGACAUUACACCGGGAAAAGCAUCCAGAAGAUGGGUGCCCCCCCU
This 888-nucleotide ribosomal RNA is filed under the name Streptomyces sp. RA05. RNAcentral's name for it is "bacterial SSU rRNA". It matches the Rfam family "Bacterial small subunit ribosomal RNA", at positions 149 to 1020 of the family's 1533-position model. The record is from RNAcentral. Lineage: Bacteria; Bacillati; Actinomycetota; Actinomycetes; Kitasatosporales; Streptomycetaceae.